RNAcentral lists this ribosomal RNA (500 nucleotides) under uncultured bacterium. RNAcentral describes it as "partial 16S ribosomal RNA". It matches the Rfam family "Bacterial small subunit ribosomal RNA", at positions 28 to 523 of the family's 1533-position model. The record is from RNAcentral.
GAUGAACGCUGGCGGAAUGCUUUACACAUGCAAGUCGAACGGCAGCACGGACUUCGGUCUGGUGGCGAGUGGCGAACGGGUGAGUAAUACAUCGGAACGUGCCCAAUCGUGGGGGAUAACGUAGCGAAAGCUACGCUAAUACCGCAUACGAUCUAAGGAUGAAAGCGGGGGAUCGCAAGACCUCGCGCGAUUGGAGCGGACGAUGGCAGAUUAGGUAGUUGGUAGGGUAAAGGCCUACCAAGCCGACGAUCUGUAGCUGGUCUGAGAGGAUGAUCAGCCACACUGGGACUGAGACACGGCCCAGACUCCUACGGGAGGCAGCAGUGGGGAAUUUUGGACAAUGGACGCAAGUCUGAUCCAGCCAUUCCGCGUGCAGGAUGAAGGCCCUCGGGUUGUAAACUGCUUUUGUACAGAACGAAAAGGCUCUGGUUAAUACCUAGGGCUCAUGUCGGUACUGUAAGAAUAAGCACCGGCUAACUACGUGCCAGCAGCCGCAGUAA